This 636-nucleotide long non-coding RNA is filed under the name Medicago truncatula (barrel medic). Its description in RNAcentral is "long non-coding RNA (MTRU_LNC002113)". The record is from RNAcentral. Lineage: Eukaryota; Viridiplantae; Streptophyta; Magnoliopsida; Fabales; Fabaceae.
AAGCAAUGAUGGGAGUGCAGAAAUGGGAAGUGACAUUACUGAUCACAAGAUGGACUCGGAAACCAGGGAUUCUCAGACCUCAAGAAAAGUUACCCGACAAAGAUAAACUUGUUGGAGAUCAAGAGAAACUUGUUGCCACAAAGGAGGCUGCAGAAUUAGGAAGGAAUGAUGAUACAUCAUUAAACAAGUCUAGCUUCAAUGUUGGUCAAAAUCUGGAGCGUCGGGAAGGCCCACUUGGUCAGUCGCCCAAAGAAGCAAUCAAGAUUGACAAAGAUAAGGUAAAGGCCAUAUUAGAAAAAGGAGAAAGGAACGAGGGGAAAUGACAAUAAAGAAAGAUGUAAUGGAUGAGGAUGAUCUCAUUGAGAGGGAGCUUGAAGAUGGAGUUGAAAUAACAAACAAGAUGAUUGACAAAGACAAAGUAAAGACCGCGUUAGAAAAAAUGAGAAAGGAACGAGGUGAAAUGACAAUAAAGAAAGAUAUAAUGGACGAGGAUGAUCUCAUUGAGAGGGAGCUUGAAGAUGGAGUAGAGUUAGCAGUUGAGAAUGAGAAAAAUAAGCAACAGAGAAGACAGAGCUUGUCUAAGCCUGAUGAUGAAGAUCAUGGUGAGGACCUUGAGGAGGCUAGAGACAGGGACGG